RNAcentral lists this ribosomal RNA (253 nucleotides) under uncultured bacterium. RNAcentral describes it as "partial 16S ribosomal RNA". It matches the Rfam family "Bacterial small subunit ribosomal RNA", at positions 524 to 776 of the family's 1533-position model. The record is from RNAcentral.
GACAGAGGGUGCAAACGUUGUUCGGAAUUAUUGGGCGUAAAGCGCUUGUAGGCGGCACGUCAAGUCGCGUGUGAAAUCCCCAGGCUUAACCUGGGAAGUGCGCGCGAAACUGACGAGCUUGAGUGCCGGAGAGGGUCGCGGAAUUCCCGGUGUAGAGGUGAAAUUCGUAGAUAUCGGGAGGAACACCAGUGGCGAAGGCGGCGACCUGGACGGACACUGACGCUGAGACGCGAAAGCGUGGGGAGCAAACAGG